AGAUAAUGAAAAAAUUGGGCUUAAAUUUCCAAUAAAGGAAGUUUAAUUCUUGCUAAUCUUAUCGCUAUCAGAAGACAAAGAUCAUUGUUAGAGACAAUGAGGAGGAGGUAUCAUGCAAGAUUCUUACAUUACAUCCUGGUCUGAAGAAACUUCCAGUUCCCUACAUUUCUGUGCAAGAACUACAGGUUUCUAUAUCAUGCAUUAUUUGAGGACCAUUGUAGUCUCAUCUCUAUUCCACCUCAACAGAAGACGAUCAAGACUCAAAACUCGAGCUGGUGCAAUGCACUGUCCAUUGAUGCAUGGAAUGGGCCAGUCUAAGUUAGCCAAGGGCGUCUGUAACGGAAUACCACUGUCCUCCCGGCCAAUUAAAGUUUUUCGGUAAGCGGCCCUUUUGACAGUCAUUGUGUGCUGAUGUGACACCUGAAUAUGGCGCCAAACAUCGUAGAUGAAUCUGUUUAAUGAUAUAGCGGAGGUUCAUUUGAUAGUGGUGAAUGAUGCAAUUGGUAGAUAGCUCAGUUCAAAUGUGCAAGAAUAGACCCCCAAAAAAUAAUGUCUUCAAUACCAACAAAGAGACAGUUGAUCACUUCAUAAUAGGGGAGCGGAAGACUGAAAUUUCCCGAACUUGACACUGUAGCUCGGUGGGUCGGCGCAGAGAACAGAGGAGAAUAUCGGGUCCCGAUCACACGGUUAUGCUGGUACCACUCCAGCCAGUGAAGGAAGCCACCACCUCAACCAAUGGAGGAAGUCACCACCACAGUUAAUGGAGGAAGCUCAGAUUGAUUGGAGGAGAUGAUGGUAGUGACUGAAGAAUGAGAGCCUGGUCACAGUCUUUUUUAGCUAACCUGAACCAUGAGGCUAGGUCAAAACAGUUGUCUUUUGAUAC
Molecule: long non-coding RNA, 883 nt
Organism: Saccostrea cuccullata (small rock oyster)
Lineage: Eukaryota; Metazoa; Mollusca; Bivalvia; Ostreida; Ostreidae
Exons: 8
Source: RefSeq, a predicted model, not a curated record